AUUCUGUGGUAAGAGAAGAAAGAUAUAAAGAGGAAAUGCUUUGUAUUUGACGGUAUCUUGCUAGAAAGCCACGGCUAACUACGUGCCAGCAGCCGCGGUAAUACGUAGGUGGCAAGCGUUAUCCGGAAUUACUGGGCGUAAAGAGUGAGCAGGCGGUUAGAUAAGUCUAUGGUUAAAUGCAACAGCUCAACUGUUGUUCGCUAUAGAAACUAUUUAACUAGAGUGCGGGAGAGGUAAGUGGAACUCCAUAUGUAGCGGUGGAAUGCUUAGAUAUAUGGAAGAACACCAGAGGCGAAGGCGGCUUACCAGUCCGUAACUGACGCUCAGUCACGAAAGCGUGGGGAGCAAAUAGGAUUAGAUAUCCUAGUAGUCCACGCCGUAAACGAUGAGAACCUGAUGCAGGAGAUAUUCUGUGUCGAAGCUAACGCGUUAAGUUCUCCGCCUGGGUACUACGUUCGCAAGAAUAAAACUUAAAGGAAUUGACGGGCGCCCGCACAAGCAGUGGAGCAUGGGGUUUAAUUCGUCGAUACACGAAAAACCUUACCAGGGCUUGACAUCCCGCUAAAAGCCUUAGAAAUAAGGAAAUAGUUAUAGCGGUGACAGGUGGUGCAUGGUUGUCGUCAGCUCGUGCCGUGAGGUGUUAGGUUAAGUCCUCAAACGAGCGCAACCCUUGUCUUUAGUUGCCAUUAUUAAUUUAGGAACUCUAGAGAGACUGCCGGCGCAAGCCGGAGGAAGGCGGGGAUGACGUCAAAUCAUCAUGCCCUUUAUGCCCUGGGCCACACCCGUGCUACAAUGGUCGGUACAAAGAGAAGCAACACUGUGAGGUGAAGCAAAUCCCAUAAAGCCGAUCUCAAUUCGGAUUGAAGUCUGCAACUCGACUUCAUGAAGCUGGAAUUGCUAGUAAUCGCAGAUCAGCAACGCUGCGGUGAAUACGUUCUCGGGCGUUGUACACACUGCCCGUCACACCAUGAGAGCCGGUAAUACUCGAAGUCGUUAGCCUAACCGUAAGGAGGGCGGCGCCUAAGGUAGGACUGGUGAUUGGGGUUAAGUCGUAACAAGGUAUCCCUACGAGAACGUGGGGAUG
RNAcentral lists this ribosomal RNA (1084 nucleotides) under human gut metagenome. Its description in RNAcentral is "bacterial SSU rRNA". It matches the Rfam family "Bacterial small subunit ribosomal RNA", at positions 430 to 1520 of the family's 1533-position model. The record is from RNAcentral.